GUCUCUGAGGAUGAUGAAACAAAUAACUUUCGUUCUUCUGAGUUGUCCAUGCGGAAGAUACAUGGAGACCUGAACUGAAGAGAC
This is a small nucleolar RNA of Lupinus angustifolius (narrow-leaved blue lupine), 84 nucleotides long. It matches the Rfam family "Small nucleolar RNA Z159/U59". From Rfam's summary of the family: This family consists of several snoRNA Z159 or U59 sequences which are members of the C/D class of snoRNA which contain the C (UGAUGA) and D (CUGA) box motifs. The record is from Rfam. Lineage: Eukaryota; Viridiplantae; Streptophyta; Magnoliopsida; Fabales; Fabaceae.